Molecule: transfer RNA, 72 nt
Filed under: Marmota monax (woodchuck)
Lineage: Eukaryota; Metazoa; Chordata; Mammalia; Rodentia; Sciuridae
Description: tRNA.Ala
Rfam family: tRNA (bases 6-66)
About the family: Transfer RNA (tRNA) molecules are approximately 80 nucleotides in length. Their secondary structure includes four short double-helical elements and three loops (D, anti-codon, and T loops). Further hydrogen bonds mediate the characteristic L-shaped molecular structure. tRNAs have two regions of fundamental functional importance: the anti-codon, which is responsible for specific mRNA codon recognition, and the 3' end, to which the tRNAs corresponding amino acid is attached (by aminoacyl-tRNA synthetases). tRNAs cope with the degeneracy of the genetic code in two manners: having more than one tRNA (with a specific anti-codon) for a particular amino acid; and 'wobble' base-pairing, i.e. permitting non-standard base-pairing at the 3rd anti-codon position.
Source: RNAcentral
GGGAUUGUAGCUCAGUGAUAGAGCACUCACCAAGCAUGUGUGAGGCCCUGAGUUCAAUUCUCAGCACUACAU